Molecule: long non-coding RNA, 940 nt
Organism: Talpa occidentalis (Iberian mole)
Lineage: Eukaryota; Metazoa; Chordata; Mammalia; Eulipotyphla; Talpidae
Exons: 3
Source: RefSeq, a predicted model, not a curated record
GGGAGACUAGCCUGAGGCCAGGGGUACAGGGACAUACCUUCUCAAUGAAUGUUAUCACACCACACCCAGCAUCAAAGGAGAAAUGGAAAUUUUAAGACUCCUCAAAACGCAACAAUAAAAACCAAAAACUCAAUUAAAAAUAAGCCACUUUGAACAGGCACUUCACCAAAGAAGAUGUGCCAGUGGAAAAUAAGCUUCUGCAAAGAUUCUCAACAUCCUACGUCACUGGAAAACUGAAAAUGAGGAUAGCAAUGACAUGCCAUCAAAUACCUAUGAGUUGGUGGAAGUAAAAAACUGGUGCCUGUAAUACCUAGUGCAGAUCAGGACAUGAGCAACGGAAACCCUCACCCCAGAUAGGAUACAAAUAACAUCAUCAUUAGGAAAGACAGUCAACAGUUUCCUACAGAGACUUACCCUGCAAUGUACUGAUCACUCACUAAAUAUGACCCAACUCACUGGAGAAACUAUAUUUGCAGAGAAACCCGCACACAAUGUUUACAGCAGAUCACCCUUCCCUCUGGACUGUGCAGAGUGACUCCUUCAAAGACUACAGUGUGGAUGGAGCAAAGAACUUCACAGGGAGCGGCUGGGAAACAGCCCUCAGUGGGUGGGGAAGGUGAACACUGCGAGUGACAGGCACGUGGAUCGUCUGCCCUGGUGUGAGGGACUGAGAAUGGCUCCUAGGUGUGGUCUUCCCUAAAGCCACAUCCCACUCAACCAAGCUCAAAGUGAGACAUUCUACAAUACACCCGAGAAACACUUCUUUAAAAAUGUCCAGGUCAUCAAGAAGAAGGAAAUUCUGGAUCCUGGAGCAGAAAAAAUAAAAACGAGUGAAAUCUGAAUGACGUGUGAAUUCAGUUGCCGUGUGUUCAUGCUGGUUCACCAGCUGUGCAGAUACAUGACAGCGACAUGUUGGCAGUGAGAAACUGAGUGUGGGAUA